This 377-nucleotide ribosomal RNA is filed under the name uncultured prokaryote. Its description in RNAcentral is "bacterial SSU rRNA". It matches the Rfam family "Archaeal small subunit ribosomal RNA", at positions 474 to 851 of the family's 1478-position model. The record is from RNAcentral.
UACCAGCUCUCCGAGUGGUGUGGACGUUUAUUGGGCCUAAAGCAUCCGUAGCUGGCUGGGCAAGUCCUCUGUUAAACCCACCGAUUUAAUCGUUGGCGUGCGGGGGAUACUGCUCGGCUAGGGGACGAGAGAGGCAGACGGUAUUCCCGGGGUAGGGGUGAAAUCCUAUAAUCCCGAGAAGACCACCAGUGGCGAAGGCUGUCUGCUAGAACGCGCCCGACGGUGAGGGAUGAAAGCUGGGGGAGCGAACCGGAUUAGAUACCCGGGUAGUCCCAGCUGUAAACGAUGCAAACUAGGUGUUUGGACGGCCACGUGCCGUUCUAGUGCCGCAGGGAAGCUGUUAAGUUUGCCGCCUGGGGAGUACGAUCGCAAGAUUG